Molecule: ribosomal RNA, 119 nt
Organism: Capsella rubella
Lineage: Eukaryota; Viridiplantae; Streptophyta; Magnoliopsida; Brassicales; Brassicaceae
Source: Rfam
AAAUGCGAUCAGUCCAGCACUAAUGCACUGGAUCCCAUCAUAACUCCGCAGUUAAGCUUACUUGGGCAAGAGUAGUACUAGGUUGGGUGACUUCCCGGGAAGUCCUCGUGUUGCAUCCC